GCUGGCGUAGCUCAAUGGGUAGAGCAGCUCACUUGUAAUGAGCAGGUUGGGGGUUCGAGUCCCUCCGCCAGCU
This 73-nucleotide transfer RNA is filed under the name Rhodothermus sp. RNAcentral's name for it is "tRNA-Thr". It matches the Rfam family "tRNA". Rfam says of the family: Transfer RNA (tRNA) molecules are approximately 80 nucleotides in length. Lineage: Bacteria; Pseudomonadati; Rhodothermota; Rhodothermia; Rhodothermales; Rhodothermaceae. The record is from RNAcentral.